This 666-nucleotide ribosomal RNA is filed under the name Salmonella enterica. Its description in RNAcentral is "partial 23S ribosomal RNA". It matches the Rfam family "Bacterial large subunit ribosomal RNA", at positions 2138 to 2803 of the family's 2925-position model. Lineage: Bacteria; Pseudomonadati; Pseudomonadota; Gammaproteobacteria; Enterobacterales; Enterobacteriaceae. The record is from RNAcentral.
GUAGGAUAGGUGGGAGGCUUUGAAGUGUGGACGCCAGUCUGCAUGGAGCCGGCCUUGAAAUACCACCCUUUAAUGUUUGAUGUUCUAACGUGGACCCGUUACCCGGGUUGCGGACAGUGUCUGGUGGGUAGUUUGACUGGGGCGGUCUCCUCCUAAAGAGUAACGGAGGAGCACGAAGGUUGGCUAAUCCUGGUCGGACAUCAGGAGGUUAGUGCAAUGGCAUAAGCCAGCUUGACUGCGAGCGUGACGGCGCGAGCAGGUGCGAAAGCAGGUCAUAGUGAUCCGGUGGUUCUGAAUGGAAGGGCCAUCGCUCAACGGAUAAAAGGUACUCCGGGGAUAACAGGCUGAUACCGCCCAAGAGUUCAUAUCGACGGCGGUGUUUGGCACCUCGAUGUCGGCUCAUCACAUCCUGGGGCUGAAGUAGGUCCCAAGGGUAUGGCUGUUCGCCAUUUAAAGUGGUACGCGAGCUGGGUUUAGAACGUCGUGAGACAGUUCGGUCCCUAUCUGCCGUGGGCGCUGGAGAACUGAGGGGGGCUGCUCCUAGUACGAGAGGACCGGAGUGGACGCAUCACUGGUGUUCGGGUUGUCAUGCCAAUGGCACUGCCCGGUAGCUAAAUGCGGAAGAGAUAAGUGCUGAAAGCAUCUAAGCACGAAACUUGCCCCGAG